CCGCACGCGCGCUACACUGAAUAGAUCAGCGUGUUCUCCCUUUCUGAGAAGAACGGGUAAACCGCUGAACCCUAUUCGUGGUAGGGAUCGGGGCUUGCAAUUAUUCCCCGUGAACCAGGAAUUCCCAGUAGGCGCGAGUCAUAAGCUCGCGUCGAUUACGUCCCUGCCCUUUGUACACACCGCCCGUCGCUACUACCGAUUGAAUGGCUAAUCCCGCG
RNAcentral lists this ribosomal RNA (218 nucleotides) under uncultured eukaryote. Its description in RNAcentral is "partial 18S small subunit ribosomal RNA". It matches the Rfam family "Eukaryotic small subunit ribosomal RNA", at positions 1487 to 1707 of the family's 1831-position model. The record is from RNAcentral.